This 492-nucleotide ribosomal RNA is filed under the name uncultured bacterium. Its description in RNAcentral is "partial 16S ribosomal RNA". It matches the Rfam family "Bacterial small subunit ribosomal RNA", at positions 29 to 507 of the family's 1533-position model. The record is from RNAcentral.
AGUGAACGCUGGCGGUAGGCCUAACACAUGCAAGUCGAACGGCAGCACAGUAAGAGCUUGCUCUUACGGGUGGCGAGUGGCGGACGGGUGAGGAAUACAUCGGAAUCUACUUUUUCGUGGGGGAUAACGUAGGGAAACUUACGCUAAUACCGCAUACGACCUACGGGUGAAAGCAGGGGAUCUUCGGACCUUGCGCGAUUGAAUGAGCCGAUGUCGGAUUAGCUAGUUGGCGGGGUAAAGGCCCACCAAGUCGACGAUCCGUAGCUGGUCUGAGAGGAUGAUCGGCCACACUGGAACUGAGACACGGUCCAGACUCCUACGGGAGGCAGCAGUGGGGAAUAUUGGACAAUGGGCGCAAGCCUGAUCCAGCCAUACCGCGUGGGUGAAGAAGGCCUUCGGGUUGUAAAGCCCUUUUGUUGGGAAAGAAAAGCAGCAGGUUAAUACCCCGCUGUUCUGACGGUACCCAAAGAAUAAGCACCGGCUAACUUCGUG